RNAcentral lists this ribosomal RNA (224 nucleotides) under uncultured bacterium. RNAcentral's name for it is "partial 16S ribosomal RNA". It matches the Rfam family "Bacterial small subunit ribosomal RNA", at positions 109 to 334 of the family's 1533-position model. The record is from RNAcentral.
CGUAACACGUAUGCAACCUACCCAAAACUGGAGGAUAGCUCGGGGAAACUCGAAUUAACCCUCCAUAAGAUAUUGGUGUGGCAUCACACAGAUAUUAAAAUACAAGUGGUUUUGGAUGGGCAUGCGUCUGAUUAGUUAGUUGGCGGGUAACGGCCCACCAAGACGAUGAUCAGUAGGGGAACUGAGAGGUUGAUCCCCCACACUGGCACUGAGAUACGGGCCAG